This 301-nucleotide ribosomal RNA is filed under the name uncultured bacterium. Its description in RNAcentral is "partial 16S ribosomal RNA". It matches the Rfam family "Bacterial small subunit ribosomal RNA", at positions 509 to 807 of the family's 1533-position model. The record is from RNAcentral.
CAGCCGCCGCGGUAAGACAGAGGAUGCAAGCGUUAUCCGGAAUGAUUGGGCGUAAAGCGUCUGUAGGUGGCUUUUCAAGUCCGCCGUCAAAUCCCAGGGCUCAACCCUGGACAGGCGGUGGAAACUACCAAGCUGGAAUACGGUAGGGGCAGAGGGAAUUUCCGGUGGAGCGGUGAAAUGCGUUGAGAUCGGAAAGAACACCAACGGCAAAAGCACUCUGCUGGGCCGACACUGACACUGAGAGACGAAAGCUAGGGGAGCAAAUGGGAUUAGAUACCCCAGUAGUCCCUGUCUCUUAUAC